RNAcentral lists this non-coding RNA (29 nucleotides) under Mus musculus (house mouse). Lineage: Eukaryota; Metazoa; Chordata; Mammalia; Rodentia; Muridae. The record is from RNAcentral.
UGGGAAAAGGGUUCUCUAGCUGUUUGUGG